AGAGUUUGAUCCUGGCUCAGGAUGAACGCUAGCGGUGUGCCUAAUGCAUGCAAGUCGAACGGGAGCCUUGGAUUCGUCUGAGGUGAGAGUGGCGAACGGGUGAGUAACACGUAGGUGACCUGCCCUAGAGAGGGAGACAACCAGUGGAAACGCUGGCUAAUACCCCGGAUGUCAAUGAGAUUAGAAGGCAUUGACUAAAGUAGCGGAUAAAACUGCUGCGCUCUGGGAGGGGCCUGCGACCCAUCAGCUAGUUGGUAGGGUAACGGCCUACCAAGGCAGAGACGGGUAGGGGGCGUGAGAGCGUGGCCCCCCACACUGGUACUGACACACGGACCAGAUACCUACGGGUAGCAGCAGCAAGGAAUAUUCCGCAAUGGGCGCAAGCCUGACGGAGCGACGUCGCGUGGUUGAUGAAGUCCUUCGGGACGUAAAGACCUUUUAUCGGGGAGAAAACCGGUUUACCGGUGUGAUAGUACUCGAUGAAUAAGGGGUUGCUAAACUCGUGCCAGCAGCAGCGGUAAUACGAGUGCCCCAAGCGUUAUCCGGAAUUAUUGGGCGUAAAGGGUGUGUAGGUGGCUCUAUUAGUCGGUUGUUAAAGCUCCCCGCUUAACGGGGAAAAUGCGACCGAAACGGUAGAACUAGAGGAGGUGAGGGGUCUAUGGAACUCAUGGUGUAGGGGUGAAAUCCGUUGAUAUCAUGGGGAACACCAAAAGCGAAGGCAGUAGACUGGCGCCUAACUGACACUGAAACACGAAAGCGUGGGGAUCAAACGGGAUUAGAUACCCCGGUAGUCCACGCCCUAAACGAUGAUAUCUAGCUUUUCGGAGUAUCGACCCUCUGAGAGGCAAAGCUAACGCGUUAAGAUAUCCGCCUGGGAGGUACGGCCGCAAGGCUAAAACUCAAAAGAAUAGACGGGGACUUGCACAAGCGGUGGAUCAUGCGGUUUAAUUCGAUGAUAAACGAAGAACCUUACCAGGGUUUGAAACCCAGUUGAAGUCCGAGCGAAAGCACGGAUGUCUCACAAGGACAAUUGGGCAGGUGUUGCAUGGCUGUCGUCAGUUCGUGGCUUGAGCUGUUCCCUUAAGUGGGGAAACGAACGCAACCCUUGUGGCCUGUUAUAAGUGUCAGGCCAGACUGUCCAUCUCUGAUGGAAGGAAGCGAGGAUGACGCCAAGUCAGCAUGACCCUCUGAUAUCCUGGGCCACACGCAUGAUACAAUGGCCACUACAAUAAGUUGCGAUGCCGUAAGGCGGAGCCAAUCUAUAAAAGUGGUCUCAGUUCGGAUUGAGGGCUGCAAUUCGCCCUCAUGAAGUUGGAAUCGCUAGUAAUCGCGGGUCAGCUAUACCGCGGUGAAUACGUUCUCAAGUCUUGUACUCACCGCCCGUCAAGCCAAGGGAGCCGGGAAUACCCCAAGUGUCGCUUCGGCGGCCCCAAGGUAAGUUCGGUGACAAGGGUUAAGUCGUAACAAGGUAACC
This 1474-nucleotide ribosomal RNA is filed under the name uncultured bacterium. Its description in RNAcentral is "bacterial SSU rRNA". It matches the Rfam family "Bacterial small subunit ribosomal RNA". The record is from RNAcentral.